Eptesicus fuscus (big brown bat) is the source of this 712-nucleotide long non-coding RNA. RefSeq lists it as uncharacterized. The transcript has 2 exons. NCBI's taxonomy places the organism in Eukaryota, Metazoa, Chordata, Mammalia, Chiroptera, Vespertilionidae. The record is from RefSeq and is a predicted model, not a curated record.
GCAGCUGGGGAAGGGGACCAGCUGCAAGACAGCAUUCUCUCUCUAUUCCCCAAGGAGCAUUUGUCCAGACCCUGGGGAACACCCUCACCUGGAUUGCAGACCAGCGCUGUCUGCAGACACUCUGGCCACAAGUCACCAAUCUGUUCCUGACCAGUCCCACCAAGAAGCCAGGCAGACUUCUGAGGCGCAUCUCAGACCUGGAGGACUAACGGGGACAGCUGCGUCACCCAAACACCAACCCGCUGUCGCUGAGAACAUGGGCAGCGUCUGGCUUGCUGUACUGUAAAAAUGAAAGGCAUUUCUUGAGGCUGACAAGGUAGAACCUUCUGUGUGUCCCCUGCCAGCCUCCUCUCAAACCCCCAACCCCCUCCACCACCUGGCUUAGUGCAAUACUCCCAUCCCUGAUGGGGUCUCUUGCCAUGGUACUGUCACCACAGCCCACGGUCCCCAUCCCAACCUUGUUUUUAUGGCUGAACUGAUUUCAAAACACAACGAAACUGCAAACCUUGUGUGUCUUAAUUCUUACCGGGGCUUCCGCGUGCUCAGCCCCUGGUCUAGUAUGUGACAAUCCGGAGCGCAGCCUCCUGGGCGCCUCUGUAACCUUACAGCCACUGCUGGCCCUGAUAACACUCAUAUGCAGCCCCGGGCCCCUCCCUGCCACCCCUUCCUCUUUUUAUGUUGAAGAGUUCUCUAAUAAAUCGGGUAAUAAACA